AUUGAACGCUGGCGGCAGGCUUAACACAUGCAAGUCGAGCGGGGUGAUGGUGCUUGCACUAUCACUUAGCGGCGGACGGGUGAGUAAUGCUUAGGAAUCUGCCUAUUAGUGGGGGACAACAUCUCGAAAGGGAUGCUAAUACCGCAUACGUCCUACGGGAGAAAGCAGGGGAUCACUUGUGACCUUGCGCUAAUAGAUGAGCCUAGGUCGGAUUAGCUAGUUGGUGGGGUAAAGGCCUACCAAGGCGACGAUCUGUAGCGGGUCUGAGAGGAUGAUCCGCCACACUGGGACUGGGACACGGCCCAGACUCCUACGGGAGGCAGCAGUGGGGAAUAUUGGACAAUGGGGGGAACCCUGAUCCAGCCAUGCCGCGUGUGUGAAGAAGGCCUUAUGGUUGUAAAGCACUUUAAGCGAGGAGGAGGCUCUUUUGGUUAAUACCCAAGAUGAGUGGACGUUACUCGCAGAACAAGCACCGGCUAACUCUGUGCCAGCCGCCGCUGUAA
Molecule: ribosomal RNA, 503 nt
Filed under: uncultured bacterium
Lineage: Bacteria
Description: partial 16S ribosomal RNA
Rfam family: Bacterial small subunit ribosomal RNA
Source: RNAcentral